Long non-coding RNA from Apis dorsata (giant honeybee), 519 nucleotides. RefSeq lists it as uncharacterized. NCBI's taxonomy places the organism in Eukaryota, Metazoa, Arthropoda, Insecta, Hymenoptera, Apidae. The transcript has 3 exons. The record is from RefSeq and is a predicted model, not a curated record.
UAAUUUUUAAUUGCAAUUUGUAAUAUAAACAUUGUUUAAAUAUUAAAAAAUAUAAAAAAACUUAAAUAGAUAUCGAUUACAUAAAGAAAACGGAAUUGUAUAGAUUAUAUAUUUCAAAAAAGAUUUCUGAAAUUAGUUGUCGUCUAAAUCUUUUGAAAGGUUUGACUAGUUUCUCAAUAUAUUGUCGAAUCUGCAAUUCCACUGUAAUCUAAUACGAUCCAGAAGUAUCAUUAGGUGCUUCAGGUCACGAAGUGAAAAGAGGGAGAUGUAGAGAUUUUGCGGACGAUGUAGAUAUAUUCGGAGGAAUUUCGUAGCAAAAAUAACUUCGGUAGACUACCGGUGGCUGCCCAGCAGUGACGCGUCAGAGAGAAUCCGAAACUUUCAUAAGAUAAACGUGCGUUUUGCCCAUGUACAUCUUCGUUUUUCAAUUCUUCGCUGUUUUCGUUCGAGUUUCCGGCCAUUAAUGACGGCGUAACCGAGUUCCAGACUGACAGUUUAACUAAAUUAUAUAUUAAUUAU